This 476-nucleotide ribosomal RNA is filed under the name Cytospora sp. RNAcentral describes it as "partial large subunit ribosomal RNA". It matches the Rfam family "Eukaryotic large subunit ribosomal RNA", at positions 402 to 902 of the family's 3401-position model. The record is from RNAcentral. Lineage: Eukaryota; Fungi; Ascomycota; Sordariomycetes; Diaporthales; Cytosporaceae. RNAcentral also lists the same sequence under 1 other name.
AAAUUGUUGAAAGGGAAGCGUUUAUGACCAGACUUGCGCCGGGCAGCUCAUCAGGGGUUCUCCCCUGUGCACUCUGCCCGGCUCAGGCCAGCAUCGAUUCUCGUGGGAGGAUAAGAACGGUAGGAACGUGGCCCCCUCUCGGGGGGGUGUUAUAGCCUGCCGUACGAUACUCCCGUGGGGAUCGAGGUUCGCGCUCCGCAAGGAUGCUGGCGUAAUGGUCAUCAACGACCCGUCUUGAAACACGGACCAAGGAGUCGUCCAUUAGAGCGAGCGUUUGGGUGUAAAACCCGCACGCGUAAUGAAAGUGAACGCAGGUGAGAGCUUCGGCGCAUCAUCGACCGAUCCUGAUGUUCUCGGAUGGAUUUGAGUAAGAGUUUUAACGGACGGACCCGAAAGACAGUGAACUAUGCUUGUAUAGGGUGAAGCCAGAGGAAACUCUGGUGGAGGCUCGCAGCGGUUCUGACGUGCAAAUCGAU